This 254-nucleotide ribosomal RNA is filed under the name uncultured bacterium. RNAcentral's name for it is "partial 16S ribosomal RNA". It matches the Rfam family "Bacterial small subunit ribosomal RNA", at positions 524 to 776 of the family's 1533-position model. The record is from RNAcentral.
UACGUAGGGUGCGAGCGUUGUCCGGAAUUAUUGGGCGUAAAGGGCUCGUAGGCGGUUUGUCGCGUCGGGAGUGAAAACCCAGGGCUUAACUCUGGGCUUGCUUUCGAUACGGGCAGACUAGAGGUAUGCAGGGGAGAACGGAAUUCCUGGUGUAGCGGUGAAAUGCGCAGAUAUCAGGAGGAACACCGGGUGGCGAAGGCGGUUCUCUGGGCAUUACCUGACGCUGAGGAGCGAAAGUGUGGGGAGCGAACAGG